This 433-nucleotide ribosomal RNA is filed under the name uncultured bacterium. RNAcentral describes it as "partial 16S ribosomal RNA". It matches the Rfam family "Bacterial small subunit ribosomal RNA", at positions 29 to 507 of the family's 1533-position model. The record is from RNAcentral.
AACGAACGCUGGCGGCAUGCCUAACACAUGCAAGUCGAACGAGACCUUCGGGUGUAGUGGCGCACGGGUGCGUAACGCGUGGGAACCUGCCCUUAGGUUCGGAAUAACUCCCCGAAAGGGGUGAUAAUACCGGAUAAUGUCUUAGGACCAAAGAUUUAUCGCCUUUGGAUGGGCCCGCGUUGGAUUAGCUAGUUGGUAGGGUAAAAGCCUACUAAGGCGACGAUUCAUAGCUGGUCUGAGAGGAUGAUCAGCCACACUGGGACUGGGACACGGCCGAGACUCCUCCGGGAGGCAGCAGUGGGUAAUAUUGGACCAUGGGCGAAAGCCUGAUCCAGCAAUGCCGCGUGAGUGAUGAAGGCCUUAGGGUUGUAAAGCUCUUUUACCCGUGAUGAUAAUGACAGUACCGAGAGAAUAAGCUCCGGCUAACUCCGUG